Molecule: transfer RNA, 83 nt
Filed under: Mollicutes bacterium PWAP
Lineage: Bacteria; Bacillati; Mycoplasmatota; Mollicutes
Description: tRNA-Leu
Rfam family: tRNA
About the family: Transfer RNA (tRNA) molecules are approximately 80 nucleotides in length. Their secondary structure includes four short double-helical elements and three loops (D, anti-codon, and T loops).
Source: RNAcentral
GCGCAAGUGGCGGAAUUGGCAGACGCGCUAGUUUUAGGCACUAGUUCUUAGGAGUGAGGGUUCAAGUCCCUCCUUGCGCACCA